UGGCUUCUGUUGGAGAAAUCUUCUUGAAGUGUUUUAAAGUUGACAAAACGUUUCCAUCAGUCUAGUCUGAAGGUUUGCAGAUUCUGCUAUUUAAAGUCUGAAGACCGCCGGACAGCCAGACUCAAGACUCAAAGUCUAUCCUCAUUGACAGUCUCUAAUCCGUUGAAGAAAGCUUAUCCAGAACUGGAUGUUUCGUUAAGGAUAUGAUCUUAUUAACUGGAGAAGAUCUCGUGGCUGGAAAAGACAUAACGGAAUCCUUUGAUUGAUCGAGAUUGACUCAAUAAUUGAAGAUCCGGUGAUUGCCUGAAUAUUCUUGGAAGGUUCUACUUAUGGAAACCGAGAUCCUGAUUAUAUGGGCGAACAUGAUUGAUGGGCUAUCGACACGUUCCUUUAAUAGCUCGAAUAAUCUUCCUAAUUGAUUCCGUCCAACGGGUAGAUUGGAGGAAUUCCUUUGGUAAGUGCCAACGGGUAUGAUGGCAUAAAGGAGUAUAUAAGAAAGACGUUCUAAGUUGUUCGAGGUGUGCGCGAUAGAAGAAUUCCAAAGUCUAAAGCUCUUUGUUGUUUAGACAAUUCCUUUGAGCGAAACCUUGUAUACAAAAGAGAGUCUAUAUUUGUGAGAAACCUUGAGGAGGUGUGAUAGAACAUCUACACUGUGGAAUCAAGGAAAAGCUGUGCUGUAACUACUCUUUUGUUCAUAGUGAAAUCCAGCCGGUGGGCUGUCAGUGCGGAAGAGUGGACGUAGGCUUGGAAUAAGCCGAACCACUUCAAUUAUCUCUUCCUUACUCUCUUUACUUUGAUCAUACUUCAUUUCGUUAAUCAAUAGUGAACUUCCUUUCUAUCAGUUGCCUAGAAUUGCUUUCGUAUCUCGAUAAAUUGUUUGUGCACCUAUUCACCCCCCCUCUAGGUGCUUAUACUAGCUAUCUUAAUUGGUAUCAGAGCUCGUGUACUCACUUUGUUUGAAGUGUUUUACUUCAGAGUUAAAGAUCCAUGGCUAGUAUGUUGGCUCCAGGGCUGGUAGAAGGGCAAAACAACACCAGACCGCCUUACUUUGAUGGAAAUGACUACAACAUAUGGAAAAACAAGAUGAAGGCGUUCUUAAGAUCAAAGGAUCCUCUGGAAUGGGACGUUGUAGAAAAAAGAAUCGUUCCUAAAGCUGUUCCUGUCUCAGAAAGAGGAAAAGACACUGUUGAGUCUAGUGAAAUGACUCAGGAAGAGAUAAUCAAGAGACAAGCUCUUGAUGCAAAAGCAAUUUAUUCUUUAUAUUGUGCUUUAUCACCUACUGAAUAUAACAGAAUAUCUUCUUGUGAUACAGCCAAAGAAGUCUGGGAUAGAUUACACAUUACAUAUGAAGGAACCGAUCGAGUGAAAGAGACUAGAAUCAACAUUCUUCUCGGUCAAUAUGAAGCCUUCAGAAUGAAACCUGGAGAAUCUAUAACUGACAUGUUUAGUCGUUUUACAGAAAUCGUGAAUGGUCUUGAAAAUCAAGGUCGACCAAUUUCUGAUCCCAUGAAAGUAAACAAGCUACUGUGUGGACUCUCCAAGGAUUGGAAUCACAUAAAGACCUCAAUCAAAGAGACUCAAAGAAUCAUGCCACUGUCUGUCGAUGAGUUGGUUGGGACUCUUUGAUAACUCUAUAAAAAUAGAGUUAUUUUACCUAUUUUAGGCAGUAAUUAAUGCAUUAUUUGUGAGAAAAUAUUUGGAUUUCCUUCUGAUUAUUUGAAUUUUCCUUGUUUAUGCAGAAUAAUGAGAUAUUGAGAGGAUAAGGAAAAGAAUGUCAACUAUCAGGAAUUCAAAUAAAAGCAGCAGUGGAAGAUAGAUAUCAAAUCAGGAAAUUCUUGAUUUUGUUCCCUAAUGUUAUCUGCAAGCGUUGGGAGAUAGAUAUUUUAGAUUUCCUAUAAAUAGGAAGAGAGAGCAGCUAGGGUUAGAGUUAGAUCAUUUUUUUUUUAUUCCUUUGAGAGUUUUUUCAAGUAUUUUGAAGAGAAGAUAAAAGUGGUGACAGAAUUCUUGUCUUUUGAUUCAAGAUGCUGGGUUUGAUCUAUAUUUUUAUUUUUAUUUUUUCUUCUACUAUGUUCUAAUUUUCUUUUGUUAGGGCUACGAUGUAGCCUAACCAUGAUGAUGUGAAUUUCAUGAUUUUUAUGUUUUACAAUUGAUUUCAUUCAUGUGAGUUAUAUAUUAUUGCGUUUAAUGCUUUUGAGUGACUGGCCACCACUUGAAUGAUCUGAUGUGCAUGUUUGAGACUGAGAGGUGAUAAUAUGCAAUUGCUCAUUAUAAUAUAUAACCAUGAAUUAAACGUGGAUAGAAAUAUACUGCGUUAUUUGUGUAGCUUUCGGUGAUAAGGUGAUCCAAAAGACUCAUUGUAAAUCGGGAAUAUUCAUAGUUUUUAAUGCACUCAUGUUUAUUUUAAUUCACAUAGAGAUAUAGUGGAUUAAUAAGCUGAGUAGGUUUGCUAUACCUAGAGAUAGGAUAGUAAAUAGGUUAGGAAAUUCCGCUAUCACAUGUUAGAUAUCGUUCUUGUACUCAUAACAAUAUGAAAUUCAUAUCUAGUGAUUAUGGUGAAAUCGUAUGCUUUAACAUAUUUAUCUGAUUGAUUUUACUGCAUUUAGUCUUCAAAGUCUUCAAGUUUCGUUUUUAAUUUAUUAUUAAUUAUAUUUUGAUCUGUUAGAUAAAUUUUAGAAUUAAUCUAUUUUAGUAUUUAAUUAGUUUAUUAAUCAUCGAUCUCCGUUGGACGAUACUUUAUCUCAUCAUUAUAUUACUUGUUUAAUACGUGCACUUGCGUUUAGAAUUUUACGAACAAGUUUUUGGCGCUGUUGUUGGGGAUCGUUUGUUUAAUACUAAUUAAUAUUGAUACCAGAUAAUUCUAAGUUUAAUCUAGCUUUCGUUUUGUUUUAUUUUUCAGGGUGUACAUCGAUUUAUGACACGUAGCCAACAAGGGAAACUUGUUGAGCUUGAUCCAGAAAUCGAGCGUACAUUCAAAAGGCGACUAAGAGAACAGAGAAAUCACGCUAAGAUGGCAGACGGUGAGAAUGAAAAUCCACGUAGACUCUUAAGAGAUUAUGCUGCGCCAACAGUUCAAGGCACCACAUCAAGUAUCAGAAGACCUGCAAUUCAAGCAAACAACUUUGAGAUUAAGCCGUCACUUAUUCAGAUGCUUCAACAAUCAGUGCAAUUCAGUGGGCUACCAAGCGAUGAUCCAAAUGCUCCUUUUGGAUACUCAAUGGGUUGAAAAUUUUUAUGUUAUAUUUGGAGGGACUUUGGGAGAAACUCCACCAUAAAGCAAUUCUAAAAAAAAAAAAAAAAGAGAAAAGAGAGAGAGAGAGAAAAGGAAAGAAAAAAAAAAGAAUGAUGAUAUAUGGCGGCAGAAAAAUUAUCUUGAAGGAGUGAAAUUAGACAGUGACAUUGGCUCUAAUUAGAUCCUCGAAAUCAACGUGUUGAUGGGUGAUUUGAGCUUAAAAUUGCCAUUAUCUCACCUUUAGCCUAGCCUUACAUUACAACCCGAGAAAAGUCCUAUUGAUUUUUGGUUGGAUGAUUAACUUACAUUAGUGGAGAGAGGAAUGAAAAGCAAACAUAUGAGAUUUGGUCAUAAUUAUUGAGAAUUUUUGAAAGGUUGCAUGUUAAUGUGAAUUUAUUUGGAUUGCAUAUAAUUCGAAAAAGAUGAGGACUCUCACACACACACUUGGAUCAUAUAGUUAGAAUUGGUCUUAACUUAUAAAUCGAUUUCAAUGUUUGGAUGAAAUUUGUGUUUUUCUUUUAAUUGUGAAUUUGAGCAAUUAUGGAAAGAUGUCAUGGAGAAGGUUGUUAGGUUGAGUAUGUGUUAUGUCUUACUUUUGCUCGAGGACUAGCAAAAUGUUAAGUUUGGGGGUUUGAUAACUCUAUAAAAAUAGAGUUAUUUUACCUAUUUUAGGCAGUAAUUAAUGCAUUAUUUGUGAGAAAAUAUUUUGAUUUCCUUCUGAUUAUUUGAAUUUUCCUUGUUUAUGCAGAAUAAUGAGAUAUGGAGAGGAUAAGGAAAAGAAUGUCAACUAUCAGGAAUUCAAAUAAAAGCAGCAGUGGAAGAUAGAUAUCAAAUCAGGAAAUUCUUGAUUUUGUUCCCUAAUGUUAUCUGCAAGCGUUGGGAGAUAGAUAUUUUAGAUUUCCUAUAAAUAGGAAGAGAGAGCAGCUAGGGUUAGAGUUAGAUCGUUUUUUUUUUAUUCCUUUGAGAGUUUUUCAAGUAUUUUGAAAAGAAGACAAAAGUGGUGACAGAAUUCUUGUCUUUUGAUUCAAGAUGCUGGGUUUGAUCUAUAUUUUUAUUUUUAUUUUUCUUCUACUAUGUUCUAAUUUUCUUUUGUUAGGGCUACGAUGUAGCCUAACCAUGAUGAUGUGAAUUUCAUGAUUUUUAUGUUUUACAAUUGAUUUCAUUCAUGUGAGUUAUAUAUUAUUGCGUUUAAUGCUUUUGAGUGACUGGCCACCACUUGAAUGAUCUGAUGUGCAUGUUUGAGACUGAGAGGUGAUAAUAUGCAAUUGCUCAUUAUAAUAUAUAACCAUGAAUUAAACGUGGAUAGAAAUAUACUGCGUAAUUUGUGUAGCUUUCGGUGAUAAGGUGAUCCAAAAGACUCAUUGUAAACCGGGAAUAUUCAUAGUUUUUAAUGCACUCAUGUUUAUUUUAAUUCACAUAGAGAUAUAGUGGAUUAAUAAGCUGAGUAGGUUUGCUAUACCUAGAGAUAGGAUAGUAAAUAGGUUAGGAAAUUCCGCUAUCACAUGUUAGAUAUCGUUCUUGUACUCAUAACAAUAUGAAAUUCAUAUCUAGUGAUUAUGGUGAAAUCGUAUGCUUUAACAUAUUUAUCUGAUUGAUUUUAUUGCAUUUAGUCUUCAAAGUCUUCAAGUUUCGUUUUUAAUUUAUUAUUAAUUAUAUUUUGAUAUGUUAGAUAAAUUUUAGAAUUAAUCUAUUUUAGUAUUUAAUUAGUUUAUUAAUCAUCGAUCUCCGUUGGACGAUACUUUAUCCCAUCAUUAUAUUACUUGUUUAAUACGUGCACUUGCGUUUAGAUUUUUACGAACACUCUUCAGUCUUAUGAAGUGGAACAAAUCAAUGAAGACGAAGAUCCUAAAGGUAAGAAAUCAAUUGCAUUAAAAUCUAAUGAUGAUUCUGAUGUAACAGAUUCUGAAGACGACAUGAAUGAUGAAGAACUUGCUCUCAUGAUAAGAAGAUUCAGAAAGCUGAACAGAAAAGGAAGAAGAUUCAAUUCAAAGAAACAAAGUUUUCAAAAGCAACAGACCAGGUCUGCUGAAGAUGAUGAAUCAAACAAAGAUAUAGUCUGCUUUGAAUGCAAGAAAAAGGGACACAUCAGACCCUACUGUCCUCUUCUAAGGAAGAAAAAAAGGAAAAACUGAAAAAUAUCGAAAAUCUCUCAAAGCUGAAACCUGGAGUGAUACGGAGUGCGAAGAUAGUGAUGAUGAUUAUGCCAACAUAUGUCUAAUGGCACAAUCAGACUCAGAAUCAAACUCCGAGACUGAUUCAGAUUCAGAAAGUGAAUUCGAGGUAAGUAACUUCAAAAUCCCUAUUAAAGUUUCAAAAUACAUUGAUGAAUUAUGUUUUAGUCUUAAGAUUUCUCUUAAAAGAAUUUCCGAACUCAAAAAGGAAAAUUCUGCUUUAAAACAACAAGAGAAUGUUUUGGAAGAAAAAGUGAAAUGCUUAGACCAGAAUGUUUCUUCUCUCAAAGAAAGUAAAGAUAAUCUUUUAAAAGAAAAUGCAUUUUUGAAAAAUGAUAUUUCAAAUAUUUCCAAAAGAUUUUCUAUAGGAUCUGAGAAACUAGAAAAAAUACUUUCUGUUCAAAGACCGUAUUUCAAUAAAUCAGGUUUAGGAAUGACUGCUGAAACUAUUCCUUUAAUCGAUUUUCCUAAAGUGAAAGAAAUAAUCAAACAAAGACCCACAAGAAAUGUGUACAAAAAUCAUUUUGAAAGGAAUUUUGUAAAACCAAUAGGUCGUAAUGCUCUUAGAUGUUCAAAAUGCAAUAGUGCAUAUCAUUUUGAGAAAGAAUGUCCUAUGGUUUGGAGACCUGUCAAUAAAGUCUGGGCAAAAACCGUAUAUCAGACUAACUCAAAAGGACCCAAGAAAAUAUGGGUACCAAAGAAAGCUUGAGUUUCUUUUUAAAUGCAGGUCACUAUCAAGAAAAAGGUGAAAUGGUACCUGGAUAGUGGAUGCUCGAGACACAUGACAGGAGAUUCAAAUUGUUUCAUAAAGCUUGCUCAAGUGAAUGGUGGAAAAGUCUCUUUUGGAGGAAACAACAAAUGAAAAAUAGUAGGAUUUGGAACUGUAAAGAUUGGGAACCUCACAAUAAGCAAUGUUUCUUUAGUUGAAGGGCUCAAUUACAAUCUGCUCAGUGUUAGUCAGCUGUGUGAUGCCGGUUUUAAAAUCAACUUUCAAGAGGGUAUUUGUUCAGGAACCAGUAAAGACUCUACUCAGUCAUUCAUGGGUCGAAGACAUGGAAAUAUCUACCUCUUGGACGUGAAACCAGAUGAAUCGCAAUGUCUAAUCUCAAUCCAAGACGAAGCAAACUUAUGGCACAAAAAGCUUGGGCAUAUCAACAUGAAGCAGAUAGCCUAAAUCUCAGCAAAGAAGCUUGUUCGUGGUCUACCCAAUUUAUCAUACAAAAAGUCUGAUCUAUGUACACCAUGUAUAUUGGGAAAACAGGUAAGAAAUUCCUUUAAGCCAAUAAAUCAAGUUUCCACUAACCGUGUACUGCAGCUCUUGCAUAUGGAUCUUUUCAGACUAACAAGAACGCAGAGCAUUGGAGGUAAGAAAUAUUGCCUAGUAAUUGUGGAUGACUACUCACGAUUUACUUGGGUAUAUUUCUUGGCAAGUAAGUCUGAAAAUUUCUCUUACUUUGAAAAAUUUGCUAAGAAGAUUCAAAAUGAAAAUGGGUAUGUUAUUUCAAGUAUAAAAACAGACCAUGGAGGUGAAUUUGAAAAUCAAGAUUUUGCUAAAUUUUGUGAAGAAUCAGGUUUUCAGCAUUUGUUCUCUUCUCCAUAUACUCCAGAGCAAAAUGGAGUUGUGGAAAGGAAGAAUAGAUCUCUUCAAGAAAUGGCUAGAACUCUCUUAAUUGAAAGCAAUAUCUCUUUACGGUUUUGGGCUGAAGCAGUUUCAACAUCAUGCUAUAUUAUCAAUAGAGUUUUUCUAAGGCCUAUUCUAGAAAAAACCCCCUAUGAACUAUUUAAAGAAAAUAAGCCCAUUGUUUCAUAUUUUCAUGUAUUUGGAUGCAAAUGUUUCAUAUUGAAAAAUCCAAAUGAUCGAAUUGGUAAGUUUGAAGAAAAGUCAGAUGAAGGCAUCUUCCUUGGAUAUUCAACCACAAGCAAAGCGUACAGAGUCUACAACAAGAAGACUCAAAUUGUGGAAGAAUCAAUGAAUGUCAAAUUCCAAGACUCUAUUCAGACUCAUCUUGAAGAGACUGAAUCUGCUCCAGACUCUACAAAGUCUAAAUCUCAAGAAGUAGUUCAGACUUUGAAGGACCAGCAACAAGUGACUGUUGAAGAUUCAAGUGAAGGAAGUGACUAUCAAUCUGACAAAUUAACAAGCAACUGGAAACAUAAGUCCAGUCAUCCCAAAGAUCUUAUUAUUGGCGAUAUCAAUGAAGGAAUCCGCACAAGAUCCAAAAGAAGAGAAGAGUCUAGUGCUGUGGCUCUUAUUUCUGAAAUAGAACCCAAGAGCAUAGAAGAAGCUUUAUCCGAUGAGAGCUGGAUUGAAGCUAUGCAAGAAGAACUCAGACAAUUCAGAAUUAAUGAUGUAUGGGAGCUGACUCCUAAACCAAAAGGUAAAUCAAUUAUUGGAGCUAAAUGGGUUUUCAAGAACAAGAUGUAUGAGAAAGGAAAAGUCAUAAGAAACAAGGCUAGACUCGUGGCCAAGGGAUACACACAAGAAGAAGGGAUCGACUAUGACGAGACUUAUGCACCGGUAGCAAGGUUAGAAGCAAUUCGUUUAUUACUUGCAUUUGCUUGUCAUAAAAAUUUCAGGUUAUUUCAAAUGGACGUUAAAAGUGCCUUCCUAAAUGGAUUCAUCCAUGAGGAAGUCUAUGUGGAACAACCACCAGGGUUUGAAGACCCAAAGAAACCAGACUCAGUAUUCAGACUCAAAAAGGCCUUAUAUGGCUUAAAGCAAGCACCUCGAGCUUGGUACGACAGAUUAAGUAAGUUUUUAAUUCAAAAUGGAUUUGUUAAAGGUAAAGUAGACACUACUCUUUUUAUUAAAAGAGAAAGCAAAAGUUUCCUGCUUGUUCAAAUAUAUGUCGAUGAUAUUAUCUUUGAAUCCUCUAAUGAAAGUCUGUGCAAGAAAUUUUCUAAGACUAUGCAGGAUAAAUUUGAAAUGAGCAUGAUGGGUGAGUUAACCUUCUUUCUUGGACUUCAAAUAAAACAAUUGGAGGAAGGAACUUUCAUUCAUCAAGAAAAGUAUGCAAAUGAUCUUGUCAAAAAGUUUGGACUGGACAAUUGCAAAAAGGCUGACAUACCAAUGUCAAGUUCCUUGAAGAUAGACAAAGACGAAGAAGGAAAGAAAGUCAAUCAAAAGCUGUACAGGAGUAUCAUCGGAUCUCUUCUUUAUCUUACUGCUUCUAGACCUGACAUUUUGUUUAGUGUUUCCAUUUGUGCCAGAUUUCAAUCAGACCCAAAAGAAUCUCAUUUGAAUGCUGCGAAGCGUAUUAUUAAAUAUGUUUCAUCAACUUCAAGCUUUGGUCUCUGGUAUCCAAAAAGGGGAGACUUUACUCUUCUUGGAUAUUCAGACGCAGACCUUGCUGGAUGCAGAGUCGAUAGAAAGAGCACCUCGGGUAUCUGUCAACUACUUGGAGGCAGGACAAUGUCUUGGUUUUCAAGAAAGCAAAGUACAGUAGCUCUCUCUAUAGCAGAAGCAGAGUAUAUAGCUCUCGGAAGUUGUUCGCAAAUUCUGUGGAUAAAACAACAGCUGAGAGACUUUGGAAUUGAAGACUCAUGCACGGAGAUUAAUUGCGACAACACCAGCGCUAUCAACCUCACCAAAAAUCCAAUUCUCCACUCAAGAGCAAAGCAUAUAGAGAUUCGACAUUACUUUAUUAGAGACCAUGUUCAAAAUGGAGAUGUUUCAAUUCAAUAUGUUGAUUCAAAGAACCCAACUGGCGGAUAUAUUCACAAAGCCUUUGGAGAAAAAUCAAUUUGAAACCAUCCGUUCCAAACUCAACAUUUUAAGGUAUGAGGAGAUCAAAGUCUAAAGACUCUCAGACUCAGACAUACAAGACUUUAACUGUGAGAUAGUCUUGGUAUGACUGUCAGACUGUAAGUUAGUCUUUCUCUCUCUCGAAUCUUAUCUUGAAAAGGUACGAUUGUGAACCGUGUUUUAUUGCUAUCUUUAAUCGGCAUAAUUAUUGCAUCGUUUCCUUUUCGAAAAAGAAGUUAUUUUUGAAAUGACUAUUUUCGCAGAAAAAGGACAGUUAUUUUGAAAAUGCAUCUUUUUAUUUUCCUUUGUGACAGUUCGUUUAUCUCUCUUUUUAACCGAUCGUGCACUGUUGAUUCCUCUCCACUUCACUCUCGAAAACCCUAGAACGCAUCGAUCCUCCAUUCCCGUUUUCUUCCCUUGUUUAAUCUUCAAAAAGUUAUCUUCUUUCUUGGGAAAGUCAAGCAAGGAAUCUUCCAAAAACUUAGAAAGAUGUCAUCUUCAAGAAAGUCUUCGAGAAUCGCAAGCAGGGGACCACGGCGAAUGAGUGAGGGGCCUACGCACUUCGAUCUCACCGAAGAAGAAGUGUCUCCAGAAUAGCAACCGAGCCCACAACAUUCUCAGCAGUGUCAUUCUCCUACAUCUAGUCCUCAAGGCGUUGAUCAUCAACAAGAGGAAGAAAUCAUUGAGGAUGCAGAUCCGGUAAGAGUACAAAAGCCCGCUUAUAUUUAUAAGCUAUAUCGUGCCUUAAAAGGAACUCGUACUCACUUGAACUAUGUUGAUGAUUUUCUUAAAGACAAAGGAUAUGGGAACGAAUAUAUCUUUUUGCGGAAAAUGGAAAGUUUGGGAAUUGCUCGUAAAUGGGUGGCUGAGGAAACCCUUGCGAAUAUCCCAAGUGAUCCUCGUGAUUGGGGACCAAAUCCUGUAGAUGGGGAUGAUGAUGACAAAUUGUACAGCCAAUUUCAACCGAGAAUGGGUGUCGCGGUUGAAAAUCGAGGAAAAAUGGGAGAUUUGUUCAGAUCGAAGGAACAAAAGGAUUUGUACUCAAAAUUGCUGAAGCGUGGGGUGAUAAACCCUAGAAGUGUGGAUUUUGAUUUCCUGGAUGCUGUGAAUGUGAACUUGAGGGAAAAGUUCAGUUAUCUUCAACUUGAGAAGUUCUGCUCCGACACUACAGAGGCCUAUGCAGAAUUAACCGCAUAUUUCUAUUCAAAUCUUAGCUUUUUGGAUGCGAAUAGAUUUUCAUUCAGUGUCAAAGAUCAAGACUAUAUUGUGGAUAUGGAUAUGCUGGCAGAUGUGUUAAGAGUUGAAAGAGGAAGAUAUCAACCGAUCAAAGUUUCCAUUGCUCGGGCCACACUGGAACUGGUGAAGGACAAGAGAGCAGAGGAGAAGAUCACCUACCUAAGGAUGAGUGCAUUCAACAUCUUGCUUCACAAGAUUGUGAUCAAUUGCCUCCGACCGAAAUCAACCUCCAAGACUGAUGUUUCAAGUUCAGAGGCCAAGCUGAUGUAUGCCAUUCUCACUGGGAAAAGGUUUUCUCUCCCUCACACUAUCAUGUUCCACAUGUAUAGAGCGAUGAUGAAGGACAGAGGUCAACUCCCUUACCCAAGCCUUGUUACGAAGUUAUUCAGACAUCUGAAUAUUCAGCCUCCGCAAAUCUUUUGUGUUCGAUCGUGCGAUCAUAUGGUGGUAGGACUGAAGAUGGUGACCAAAAUGCGUCUGAAAGAACUGAACAAGGAGUUGGAGAAAUUCAAGGAGAAGACUCCAGUCAAAGCUCAUCAAACCUCUUCUUCAAAAAGGAAAGGAAAGGAGCCCUUGGUUGCUUCAAAAUCGAAAAGGAGAGCUCUUAUUGUGGAAGAUGAAAAAGAUGAUGACCUUACCAUUUCGGCCAUAUCUUUGAAGAAGCUAAGUCGUACUGUUCCAGAGUCAAUGGAACAACGUGAGACAGAAGGAAAGGAAAGAGAAGGCCAAGAGGAAAGAGAAGGUCAAGAAAAGGAGAGAGAAGAAGAAGAGAAAGAAGAAGAAAGAGCAGUUGGCGAAAAAGAAGUAGAGGAGGAAAGACCUGAAGAAGAAAGAAGAAAAGAAGGAGAACCUAAGGAACACUCUUCUCCACCUGUAGGCAUGGAAACAGGGGGAGAUCAAGAGAAAGGAGGGAAGUCCUCAUAUCCUGAUGCAAGUGAAGGAGUCAGUCGCUCACCUGCAGACCCAGAGGACGUUUAUGCCUCUCAAUUUCCAGAAGAAGGUCAUGAAGUUUCAUCGCCAAACCUGCGAGAUUAUUCUGAUAUGCCAUCAUCUGCAGAACGUGCUGAAGCUAGUACGCAGACCGAUAGCUCAGCCGAUUUUCGUAGAAUUAUGGAUAUUCUCUUAGAGAUGCGAGGUCAAAUUUAUGCAUUGGGAUGCGAGAUUCAAAACUUGCAAAAUGCGGGUCAAGUUUCUUCAUGUUCAUUGAAUGAUAAAAUCCAAGCCCUCAUUGUUCAGAUUCAGGCCAGUGCCAAGGGUGAGGAGAUUGCACAACUGAAGGAAGACUUGAAAAGGCUGGAAGGCAUCGUUCAGUCUAUGGGAGAUUUCCAGCUUGUCCGCGUUCCCAAGCAAUCUUGACUUCAUUCUAUUUUCAUCUCAACCUUUUUAAUGCUGACAAAAAGGGGGAGAGAUGCAAGAUUUGAACAAUUGGACUUUUUAAUCGUAUGGUUUGUUGGACUGUGUUGGACAGCUUGUUGGAUUGUUUUGAUGUUUGAACUCUGUUUGUUUGACUUUGUUUUUGUGUCUAGAUGAGAACUGAACUAGACUUGGACUUGACUGCUUCUAUUAACUACUAUUGAUAUCUUAUGGAUGGCUUUAUCACAUAUUAGACUAACCUAUUUUCUGUGGUUGCAGAUUCUAGUGUUAUUCAUUUAGCCAUUUAUCUCUAUAAGAUAUGCAUAUGUGUUUGAGAAAUGUUUUGCAGGUUAAAGUUGUCCAAAUCUGUAGGAAAGUUUUGUCACCAUCAAAAAGGGGGAGAUUGUUGGAGAAAUCUUCUUGAAGUGUUUUGAAGCUGACAAAACGUUUCUAUCAGUCUAGUUUGAAGGUUUGCAGACUCUGCUAUUUAAAGUCUGAAGACCACCGACAGCCAGACUCAAGACUCAAAGUCUAUCCUCAUUGACAGUCUCUAAUCCGUUGAAGAAAGGUUAUCCAAAACUGGAUGUUUCGUUAAGGAUAUGACCUUAUCAACUGGAGAAGAUCUCGUGGCUGGAAAAGACAUAACAGAAUCCUUUGAUUGAUCGAGAUUGACUCAAUAAUUGAAGAUCCGGUGAUUGCCUGAAUAUUCUUGAAAGGUUCUACUUAUGGAAACCGAGAUCCUGAUUAUAUGGGCGAACAUGAUUGAUGGGCUAUCGACACGUUCCUUUAAUAGCUUGAAUAAUCUUCCUAAUUGAUUCCGUCCAACGGGUAGAUUGGAGGAAUUCCUUUGGUAAGUGCCAACGGGUAUGAUGGCAUAAAGGAGUAUAUAAGGAAGACGUUCUAAGUUGUUCGAGGUGUGCGCGAUAGAAGAAUUCCAAAGUCUGAAGCUCCUUGUUGUUUAGACAAUUCCUUUGAGCGAAACCUUGUAUACAAAAGAGAAUCUAUAUUUGUGAGAAACCUUGAGGAGGUGUGAUAGAACAUCUACACUGUGGAAUCAAGGAAAAGCUGUGCUGUAACUACUCUUUUGUUC
RNAcentral lists this long non-coding RNA (12824 nucleotides) under Eucalyptus grandis. RNAcentral's name for it is "long non-coding RNA (EGRA_LNC001849)". The record is from RNAcentral. Lineage: Eukaryota; Viridiplantae; Streptophyta; Magnoliopsida; Myrtales; Myrtaceae.